This 299-nucleotide signal recognition particle RNA is filed under the name Callithrix jacchus (white-tufted-ear marmoset). RNAcentral's name for it is "Metazoan signal recognition particle RNA (ENSCJAG00000076805.1)". It matches the Rfam family "Metazoan signal recognition particle RNA". Rfam says of the family: The signal recognition particle (SRP) is a universally conserved ribonucleoprotein. Lineage: Eukaryota; Metazoa; Chordata; Mammalia; Primates; Cebidae. The record is from Rfam by way of RNAcentral.
GCUGGGUGCAGUGGCACGUGCCUGUAGUCCCAGCUACUCGGGAGGCUGUGGCUGGAGGAUGCUUGAGCGCAGGAGUUCUGGGCUGCAGUGCACUAUGCCAAUCAGGUGUCUGCACUAAGUUUGGCAUCAAUAUGGUGACCUCCCAGGAGCAGGGGACCACCAGGUUGCCUAAGGAGGGGUGAACCGGCCCAGGUCGAAAAUGGAGCAGGUCAAAACUCCCAUGCUGAUCAGUAGUGGGAUCGCGCCUGUGAAUAGCCACUGCACUCCAGCCUGGGCAACAGAGCAAGACCCUGUCUCUA